This 581-nucleotide ribosomal RNA is filed under the name uncultured bacterium. RNAcentral describes it as "bacterial SSU rRNA". It matches the Rfam family "Bacterial small subunit ribosomal RNA", at positions 80 to 649 of the family's 1533-position model. The record is from RNAcentral.
CUAGAUACAAGCGAGCGGCGGACGGGUGAGUAACACGUGGGUAACCUGCCCAAGAGACUGGGAUAACACCUGGAAACAGAUGCUAAUACCGGAUAACAACACUAGACGCAUGUCUAGAGUUUGAAAGAUGGUUCUGCUAUCACUCUUGGAUGGACCUGCGGUGCAUUAGCUAGUUGGUAAGGUAACGGCUUACCAAGGCAAUGAUGCAUAGCCGAGUUGAGAGACUGAUCGGCCACAUUGGGACUGAGACACGGCCCAAACUCCUACGGGAGGCAGCAGUAGGGAAUCUUCCACAAUGGACGAAAGUCUGAUGGAGCAACGCCGCGUGAGUGAAGAAGGGUUUCGGCUCGUAAAGCUCUGUUGGUAGUGAAGAAAGAUAGAGGUAGUAACUGGCCUUUAUUUGACGGUAAUUACUUAGAAAGUCACGGCUAACUACGUGCCAGCAGCCGCGGUAAUACGUAGGUGGCAAGCGUUGUCCGGAUUUAUUGGGCGUAAAGCGAGUGCAGGCGGUUCAAUAAGUCUGAUGUGAAAGCCUUCGGCUCAACCGGAGAAUUGCAUCAGAAACUGUUGAACUUGAGUGC